ACGAACGCUGGCGGCGUGCCUAAUACAUGCAAGUCGAACGCUUCUUUCCCCCCGAGUGCUUGCACUCAAUUGGAAAGAGGAGUGGCGGACGGGUGAGUAACACGUGGGUAACCUACCCAUCAGAGGGGGAUAACACUUGGAAACAGGUGCUAAUACCGCAUAACAGUUUAUGCCGCAUGGCAUAAGAGUGAAAGGCGCUUUCGGGUGUCGCUGAUGGAUGGACCCGCGGUGCAUUAGCUAGUUGGUGAGGUAACGGCUCACCAAGGCCACGAUGCAUAGCCGACCUGAGAGGGUGAUCGGCCACACUGGGACUGAGGCACGGCCCAGACUCCUACGGGAGGCAGCAGUAGGGAAUCUUCGGCAAUGGACGAAAGUCUGACCGAGCAACGCCGCGUGAGUGAAGAAGGUUUUCGGAUCGUAAAACUCUGUUGUUAGAGAAGAACAAGGACGUUAGUAACUGAACGUCCCCUGACGGUAGCAAACCAGAAAGCCACGGCUAACUACGUG
Molecule: ribosomal RNA, 507 nt
Filed under: uncultured bacterium
Lineage: Bacteria
Description: partial 16S ribosomal RNA
Rfam family: Bacterial small subunit ribosomal RNA
Source: RNAcentral